Long non-coding RNA from Ictalurus punctatus (channel catfish), 2088 nucleotides. NCBI's taxonomy places the organism in Eukaryota, Metazoa, Chordata, Actinopteri, Siluriformes, Ictaluridae. The record is from Ensembl.
UCUGGAGUUUACCGAUGAGGAGGUGAGAGAGCUGGACAGACUGCAGGAUUAAAGCGCCGCCGCGUCGGGUUUUCAGCUAGCGCCGGGUAAACCCCACCGCGGCAGUAUCCGCAGGUAAUCGUGGGUGACGUAGGAAUCCGUUAACCUCAGAAUCGCAUUACAGAAAAGACCUCGGACGUCACUAACGGCCGCGUGCUCAUUCUAAAUAUCGAUCGAUAUGCAAGCCUUUCAGGGUGGAGUUUUCCUUUAAUUAGGUGGUCCCGAUGUCUUUUUCCUCCGUCCAGACACGUCUUACGUCGCUGUUUCAACCUGUUUAAGCAUUAAUGAAGACGGAGAGAAAGCCUCCUCAGGGUUUAGAGAUCAGACGUCGGUUUAAAGCCACACAACUCAAUUUUUAAAAGCCAUUUAAAGGAAUACUCCGGCAUUUUUCAACCUAAUCUCCAUCCACUCUCUGUGGUGAGUGUGUGUGUGUGUGUGUGUGUGUGAUUAUAAUAGACAAGAAAAAAAAUCAUUUACCGCCAAACUCACUUACAAUGGAAGUCAAAGUGAAUGGAAUACAACGGAAAUGUAUUGCUGCACUUGGACUUCCAAUGGGAAGAACGCCGGAGUGUCGUUUAUUGACGUGUACAGGAUGUUUUUUAUUUUUAACCGUUAAAGCGCAGAGCAACCCCAUCAUGAGCCAAUCCAUAAAUCUCUACAAGUACGGUGCAGAUAAAGCCAUUAGAUUAGCAAGCACACUUUCUUCUUAAGCUUCAUAUGGGUUCAAGUCACAGGGUCAUGGAUUUUCCUCAAACCUCACGAUAAAGGGGCGUGGCCCCUUACCAUCUCCGCUAUUUACUUGUAUUAUAUUUUUUUAAAAUAUAAAAAAAAAAGCUAGGGGUUCAGCGUUGAGAGGCGUGUUUGAAAUUUUCAGGUCUGAUGAACAAUUUUCACCUCAGUAAAACAAGCUCUUGAUUUGUAGUCGCACUUUAUGUAGAUACGGACGCAGAAUAUGAGUUUCUAUUUUUAAGCCGACGGUCUCGGAGAGCGUAUCGGUGUAUUGCGAUUUAUUUUAGUAAAAAAUUCCUGUGUACAUACUGUAAUAACGGAUCGGUGGAGUACAUAUACGGACAUAUUUUGCUUAUGAUGAUAGAGAGACGGGUGUUGCUGGAGGAAUGAAAACUGGCAUUGCUGACGUCAAGCCGGUUAACGAUUGCGUGAUGGACGAAUGUAAAUAACGCUGCCUUCAAGUCCUGAUCGCUGGGCGAGCGCGCUUCGACGCCACGACGACGUCGUGACUGCACCUGGGGAACCUGGGAAAUCUGAGCAGUUGAAGGUUAAGGGCCUUGCUCAAGGGCCCAACAGUGGCAGCUUGGCGAUGAUGGGGUUUGAACUCAUGACCUUCCGAUUAGCAGCCCAACAUCUUAACCACUGAGCCACCACUGCUCGUGUUUCAUGACCUAAUCAUGACCUCGUACGCACGAGGUUCUGAACAGGAUUUGAAGGCAGCAUGUGUAAUGUUCUACGACAGGGUGUGUACAGAUAAAAGCUUGAUUACUAAUAUAACGAUAUCGAUGUCUGAAAUAUGCUUUAUUUCCAUUCUAGCUAACGUCCCGUUCGGUAACAAAUAAAACACUGUCACGGGAAAUGAUUAUUUUUCCUAGAACAGCUCGUCCCGAAGUGCUUUAUUCCUCUUAUACCGCAGCAAUUUGUGACCCAUUACUAAUUUCUAUCUACUGACCCAUCAUACCUGUUUAAAGUUAGAUUUAACGUCCGUGAAACAGACUAGUUCCUGUUAUCACUUGCGUUAUAGCAGCUAUAAACAGUCGUUCCCUCACCAGCCUUUCUCUCUCUCUCUCUUUUUUUAAAGAAACGCCCCCCCCCCCCCGCGCGAGAACCCACGAAACGUAACCUCGUCCGUCCUGAACAUGUCCGUACACUUUACCUCUGACUGUUACAAAGCUCUGACAAUGGAGACUCCUUACAUAAACGACUUCCCGUUAGUUAUUCGUCUUGGAUUGGAUUACGCCGGUUAUUAGUCCGCUGUACAGACCCCUCCGUGAAUAAGCGGUCGCCAUAGUGACUCAUCGUAAAAGACUCAUCGGAAUC